This 473-nucleotide ribosomal RNA is filed under the name uncultured bacterium. Its description in RNAcentral is "bacterial SSU rRNA". It matches the Rfam family "Bacterial small subunit ribosomal RNA", at positions 355 to 825 of the family's 1533-position model. The record is from RNAcentral.
UGAGGAAUAUUGGACAAUGGGCGCAAGCCUGAUCCAGCAAUGCCGCGUGCAGGAAGAAGGCCUUCGGGUUGUAAACUGCUUUUUGUACGGAACGAAAAGGCUCUUUCUAAUAAAGAGGGCCCAUGACGGUACCGUAAGAAUAAGCACCGGCUAACUCUGUGCCAGCAGCCGCGGUAAUACAGAGGGUGCGAGCGUUAAUCGGAAUUACUGGGCGUAAAGCGCACGUAGGUGGCGACGUAAGUCGGGUGUGAAAGCCCCGGGCUCAACCUGGGAACCGCAUUCGAGACUGUGUUGCUGGAGUACGGAAGAGGAGGGCGGAAUUCCCGGUGUAGCGGUGAAAUGCGUAGAGAUAGGAAAGAACACUCGUGGCGAAGGCGGCUUUCUGGCCCAUAACUGACGCUGAGGUGCGAAAGCAUGGGGAGCAAACAGGAUUAGAUACCCAGGUAGUCCCUGAGCGGGCUGGCAAGGCGCAU